GCUCGCGGGCCGCGACAGCUCAACGAUAAGCGAAAACAUGGUGCCGCCACGUGUCGAUGACUCAGCAAACCCUAGCCGCCUUUUCUGGACCUUGUGGGCCGCGUAGCCCUUAGCUACAUCUUACGCGGGCCGCGUAAAACUCGAAAUCAGAAACUAUAAAUAAGAGGCAUCGGCUGUCCAUUCCAAUUCGUUCAAAAUUCAAUUUCUCUCUCAAUUUCUGUAGUGUAGGCCCUAUACCCGGGCAUUAUACCCCCCCCCCUAAUUAGCGAAGCUCUGCCUCGUUGUAAGUAUCAUAACCCCUGGAUACGUAUUAGAUACUCUGCCCGAUUGAUCUAGGGUUCCGUAACGGCUGUCGUGGUUCUGCCCGACGUAGUCGUUGGAAUGCCGUCUCGGGGAGGAUUAUAACCUGGAAGUCACAAAGGAAAGCCCUAUAACAGCAAUGUAACUUAGUGUGAAGCCAAUAAAAGUCAGCUGGAGAGCACUGAAGGCUUAAAAAAGUGGCAAUAAAAGUUACCUAAUUAAAAAGGAGAAUUGUUUCCAAUAAUUAGGAUUAUUCCCUAUAAAUGUAUCAAAAUGAAAAAUCGGGUUUUGUCCCACUUAUAAAUAUAUUAUCAGAA
Molecule: long non-coding RNA, 617 nt
Filed under: Helianthus annuus (common sunflower)
Lineage: Eukaryota; Viridiplantae; Streptophyta; Magnoliopsida; Asterales; Asteraceae
Description: sRNA HanXRQr2_Chr06g0259911
Source: RNAcentral